AUGAACGCUGGCGGCGUGCCUAAUACAUGCAAGUCGAGCGAACGGACGAGAAGCUUGCUUCUCUGAUGUUAGCGGCGGACGGGUGAGUAACACGUGGAGAACCUACCUAUAAGACUGGGAUAACUUCGGGAAACCGGAGCUAAUACCGGAUAAUAUUUUGAACCGCAUGGUUCAAAAGUGAAAGACGGUCUUGCUGUCACUUAUAGAUGGAUCCGCGCUGCAUUAGCUAGUUGGUAAGGUAACGGCUUACCAAGGCAACGAUGCAUAGCCGACCUGAGAGGGUGAUCGGCCACACUGGAACUGAGACACGGUCCAGACUCCUACGGGAGGCAGCAGUAGGGAAUCUUCCGCAAUGGGCGAAAGCCUGACGGAGCAACGCCGCGUGAGUGAUGAAGGUCUUCGGAUCGUAAAACUCUGUUAUUAGGGAAGAACAUAUGUGUAAGUAACUGUGCACAUCUUGACGGUACCUAAUCAGAAAGCCACGGCUAACUACGUG
Molecule: ribosomal RNA, 496 nt
Filed under: uncultured bacterium
Lineage: Bacteria
Description: partial 16S ribosomal RNA
Rfam family: Bacterial small subunit ribosomal RNA
Source: RNAcentral